Magnolia sinica is the source of this 1264-nucleotide long non-coding RNA. RefSeq lists it as uncharacterized. The transcript has 6 exons. The record is from RefSeq and is a predicted model, not a curated record. Lineage: Eukaryota; Viridiplantae; Streptophyta; Magnoliopsida; Magnoliales; Magnoliaceae.
UUUCAGUUUCUUCUACAGAGAUCUUUCUCGAUUUCUCUUUUCUCUUUCCGGUUUUGAAUCUCUCUAUUUGAUUACUUACUCUACGAAUCUCGCCCUACUCCAUGUAGAAAACGUGGAGAAGAAAUUCAGAUCAGUUAUUUUUUUAGAUGAAGAAAAUCUCGAUCUGUUUGUUUUUUUUUUUUUUUUGGAUCUCGAAGAGAUGAAACCAAUGUUGCAUCGAUUUUAGUGAAAUUCCUUCAAAUCUAAAGUAAUUCCAGACAUGCAUAGAUUAGAAGGGGGAUAUUGUUCUAGAUCUUAUCAUGAAUCGGGCAUAUUCUUCUUUGGAAUCUCUUUAGGGGAAAUUUUAACUUCGUUAGACUGCGGACCGAAGUUAGAUCUGAUGAGAAAGUGUUGAAAUCCUGCCGAUUUCUGGUUGAGACGGUCCUUCGAGAGCAUCCUAAUCCGUCUUAAGUGGAGAAGGUGAAACUAAUCCUUGGGGAGCAUGAAAAAGAACUUAGCGAAGCACUUGAGAAGGUUGUUGGUGUAUUAGACGAUGGAAUCGCAUUGAUUUGCAAGGUGAUUAUAGCUGAAAUAGUCGAUACAUGGGGCUGUUGGACACUUUGAUGUCCCUGUUUGAUAGGCUGUGUCAAAGAUGAUUGGGUUUCUGUACCUCUGUUAUGUGGGUAAGAGCAAUUGGAGUCUUAUGGAAUGGAUCAGUUGUACCUCUGUUAUGUGGUACACUCUGGAUCUUAAAUCAUUUAUAUUGUCUAUGGUUUUUAUGCUCUUUUCAGUUUCUUGAUCAUGUAACCUAAAACUAUUUGAGAGUUGUUUGUGUUUAGGAGUGUAAGAUCAUAUAUCAUGUAAUGUCAGUGGUGGUCUCUUUAUACUUUAUAUCAUAUGCAUUUGGUCUCAAGAUCCUGGUAACUCUUUCUGUGAGUAGUUUUGGACUUGGGCAAUUCUGAAGAAUACCUCUCGAGUUUUGGUCCUGAGCAAUUCUGAACAAUACCUCACGAAAUAUACAUUUACUGAUGGCCGCCAUCCUGGAGCGACAUUGGACCGAAAUGGAUUGCGCCCCAGUCGCUUUUACAUUACACAUAGUGGACACGUGAUCAUGGCCAGUGAGGUUGGUGUUGGAGACAUCUUGCCAGAAGAUGUGGCUAGGAAAGGAAGACAUCUGAUCGGUCCAAAGGGACCUUACUGAAACAGUUCAUGUGGAAGGCUAGGAAAGGAAUACAUUUGUAGUUUGUUUUUAAAACUUUAAAUAGACCAUUAAUUGUUUUGUUGA